AUUGAACGCUGGCGGCAGGCCUAACACAUGCCAGUCGAGCGGAUGAAGGGAGCUUGCUCCUGGAUUCAGCGGCGGACGGGUGAGUAAUGCCUAGGAAUCUGCCUGGUAGUGGGGGAUAACGUCCAGAAACGGGCGCUAAUACCGCAUACGUCCUGAGGGAGAAAGUGGGGGAUCUUCGGACCUCACGCUAUCAGAUGAGCCUAGGUCGGAUUAGCUAGUUGGUGGGGUAAAGGCCUACCAAGGCGACGAUCCGUAACUGGUCUGAGAGGAUGAUCAGUCACACUGGAACUGAGACACGGUCCAGACUCCUACGGGAGGCAGCAGUGGGGAAUAUUGGACAAUGGGCGAAAGCCUGAUCCAGCCAUGCCGCGUGUGUGAAGAAGGUCUUCGGAUUGUAAAGCACUUUAAGUUGGGAGGAAGGGCAGUAAGUUAAUACCUUGCUGUUUUGACGUUACCAACAGAAUAAGCACCGGCUAACUUCGUG
This 484-nucleotide ribosomal RNA is filed under the name uncultured bacterium. RNAcentral's name for it is "partial 16S ribosomal RNA". It matches the Rfam family "Bacterial small subunit ribosomal RNA", at positions 30 to 507 of the family's 1533-position model. The record is from RNAcentral.